This 446-nucleotide ribosomal RNA is filed under the name uncultured bacterium. RNAcentral describes it as "partial 16S ribosomal RNA". It matches the Rfam family "Bacterial small subunit ribosomal RNA", at positions 329 to 792 of the family's 1533-position model. The record is from RNAcentral.
GCCCAGACUCCUACGGGAGGCAGCAGUGGGGGAUAUUGCACAAUGGGGGAAACCCUGAUGCAGCGACGCCGCGUGGGUGAAGAAGCGCCUCGGCGCGUAAAGCCCUUUCAGCAGGGAAGAAAAUGACGGUACCUGAGUAAGAAGCCCCGGCUAACUACGUGCCAGCAGCCGCGGUAAUACGUAGGGGGCAAGCGUUAUCCGGAUUUACUGGGUGUAAAGGGAGCGUAGACGGCAGUGCAAGUCUGGAGUGAAAGGCGGGGGCUCAACCCCCGGACUGCUCUGGAAACUGCGCGGCUGGAGUGCAGGAGGGGCAGGCGGAAUUCCUGGUGUAGCGGUGAAAUGCGUAGAUAUCAGGAGGAACACCGGUGGCGAAGGCGGCCUGCUGGACUGCGACUGACGUUGAGGCCCGAAAGCGUGGGGAGCAAACAGGAUUAGAUACCCUCGUA